CCCCGCGGUCGCCGCGGCUGGGUGUAGGGUGUCUGCUGCGCGGGAGCGCGGGGUCUUCGGGAGCGAGGGGUCUUCAGGACCGCAGGGCUCGGCUGGAGCUGAGAAAUGGCGGCUCGGAGCGUGUGAAGGCCGCCGGCCCCCGAGAAAUCCCCCUCCUCCAGGACUUAUACUGGAAAAAAAAUUACAGCGGAUAGGCAGCGAGUUGUUGGGGAUUAUAAAGAAGAAUAGCGGAUGGUAUUUUUCCUCAAGGGCUUACAGUCUUUGAUAUUCUUCAUUCAAUUCAACAAAUAUCUACCCUGUGCCAGCUGCUUCUCGAGUCUUCCAUUUGAACUCUUACCACAACAAGUGUUAGAGACUGUCUUGGAUUGGACCCUCUGCCUUCCACAAGGACAUCUGGAGCUUUGACAGAUGGGCCCUAGGGACACAGCACCUUAACCCAAGAAGGGCUGUCCUGAUCAAAGUAUGGCAAAUAUUCUCCAGGUGAGGGGUGUAAGAGAGUCUUUGGUACCUCCUCAGAUCACACCAGCAGGCCUUCCCUUGUGAACGAAUGGAAAGAAAUUAAAACAUCUGGAAAGAAUGAAUGCACCAAGAAUGAAAGCAAAUACCAUAAAUCAAGACAGGGGCUCAGCCAGUGGACACCAGGCAGGAGGAAGGGCGGCUUGGAGAGAAAGCCCUGCAAUACUCCUUAACCCACUCCUUUGUAACCCCGGCUUCUGGUGCGCCAUUCUCGUCGCCUGAGGGGCCCGCGACCAGCUGUGACAAGGGCCACAGGGGCAGUUACCCGCCCUGAGCCCAGCAAGCAGGGCCUGCCUUAGGCCCUGAAUGCCACCCACUGGCUGUGCAGUACAGCGGCCGAACCCACUUACAGCCAGUGUGGCUUUAGCAAGUUCCACACCCAUUCUUCAGCUUUCUGUGCUUGGUCCCCACGGAGGUGAGAAUAAUGGCACCUACCUCAUAGUGUUGCUGUGAGGAUUAAACUAGCCAACAUAGGUCGAGUGCUCAGAACAGAGCUGGGUACAUGGUUUCUCCGCCACAUGAACGCUGGCUUCCGUGAUCACGCAUGACAAAGGAUACCUGCCCCUGAGCUGCUCCCACACUAGGGAGGGGACCACCUUCCAAUUUCUUAUUCAACGGAAAGGCUGGCAGGCAAGUAUGAUUUAAUGUUCUUGCGGGUUCCUCUCUAGACGUCAGGCAGGGCAGCUGCCGCCCCCUUGGGGUUGACAUUCUUGCCGGAGUCGCUUUCCCCCCUCUCUCUCCUCCGCCCCUCAGCAGCCACCGGUGAGGACAACCGCUGUCCUUGGGGUGCGGUGGGGUACGCAGCUGAGAGGAAGCUUUGGUUGAGCCCCGGAUGAGUCAUGAGUCUGCACAUGUGGCGCGGCAGGGUGAGGUCACGGCGCAGACCGGGAGCCCAGGCGCAGGCCCGCUUGGCCCGAAAUGGAGCUAUUUUCACACAGCGGAUGCUUCCGAGUUGUGGAGGUGGCUGUGGACCCUGCACGCCACAUUCUCUUCCUUCCCGUGGUAUUCUAAAAAGGAUGUGACAAGCCGGGGUCAUGCAAACACAGAGAUCCUUCCGCCUCCCGGGAAAGCCACUGGAUGCAGUCUGCUGAGCAGCACAGGUGGCGUUCUCCAGGAAGCGGGCUCCGUGACCGAGACUGGCGCACAGGAAGUCUGCUUGGGGAGCGCUCUCAAGAUCAACCCCUGUGCGGGGAGGCAGGGAAGCUGCAUGGGCAGAGGGAGAAGCUGAACUCCGAUGCUGUUACAAUAAAGGCUGCAGCCACUGCCCAAGGAUGGCCCUUUGAAAUUGGAGCGGAGGGCCGGUUUUCUACUCCUGCUUUGACUGUUGGGUGCAGGCUGCACCGGGAAGGGGCAGUGGCCUUGGGCGAGGUGUCUCUCCUCAGCCCAGGGUGAACCCUGGAGAAGACGCAGAUCCACUCCGGCUGCCAGCAUGCCUGGCAGCUGGGCAGUGACACCUCUGUACUACAGGGAAGAUCUGCGUCCACCCCACGGGCAUAGACGUUAGACCUUCUUUACUUUUAUCACGUGUUUAAAUCCUUCCCAUACUCUAAGACUGAAGGUUAUAAUAAUUAAGGGUACGGGUUUUGAAGUCUGACAGCUUUGUGUUCAGAUUUCAUUUCUGCCAUCCAUUCGACAAUAUAGAGUAUCUCUGUAUUUCAGGUGCUGUUCAAGGCCCUGAGGGUAUAACAGUGAACAAAAAAGAGUUAAAACCCCUGCCUCGGAGCUGACAUUCCGUGAGUGGUAGGGGGACAGAGUCAAUUAAAAAAGAAAUAUAGAAUAAAUACAUGGUGAUUAGUGCCAUGUAAGAAUAUACUUAUAAUACUUUAAAGAAUUAAGUGGGGUGUGUGGGGGGCAGAAGGGGAUGGUGGGAGUGCUGUUUUGUGUGGAGGUCAGGGAAGGCUUUCCUGAGAAAGUGGUGUUUGAGCAGAGAAAUGAAGAGGAGAAGGUGUGGUCCCGAAGAGGUCCAGGACAGUGGGUUUUGGGGAGGUGGGUGAGGCGGGGAACAGUCCAAAGGCCCUGAGAAGAGAGUAUGCUGGGAGUGUUCAAGGCACACGAGGAAGAAAAGAGGGAGGUGCAGGGAAGGGGGUUUCAGGAGGAGGAGAUAAAAUCAGAGAGGUUUAUAUGAAAUAUCCAGAACAGGCAGAUCUAUAGAGACAGAAAGCAGGUUGCUUGGGGCUGGAGGAGUGGGUACAAUGGAGGAGGGAUGACUUUGGGAAGCAGAGUAUCUUUUCAAAAUGAUGAGAAUGUCCUAAAACUCACUGAGAUGACAGGCACGCCGUUCUGUGAAUAUAAUGAAACCCAUAUGACUGCACAUUUUAAAUGAGUGAGCUGUGUGGUGUGUGAAUUGUAUCUUAAUAAAACUAUUUGAAAAAUCGGAGGGGUGACUGCCUGACAGGGCCUCAGGGGCCAUCAUGAGCAUUUGUGCUUUUACUCUGCAGUGGGGCACUAGGAGUUGGUUUUAAGUAGAAGAGUGAAAUGAUCAGAUUGUUUUUUGAAAAGAGUCUCUGCUGCUGAGUUGAGAAUUGGUGGAAGGAGACACUCAUGGAAGCAGAUGGAGGAGAGAGGAGUUACUACAAUAUCCAGGGGAGGGAUGGUGGCGGCUCCCACCAGGCGCUGGAGGCAGGGUAGCAGGUGGUUGAAUUUAAACACCCUUUGAUAGCAGAGCUGGAAGGAAGUGCCAAGAAGAUGACUGUGUGUGGAUGUUGAAGACAGGAGUCAGUUUCUCAGUUCUGACUGGUAGAGUGGAGUCACCAAUGACCAGGAUGGAGAGAAAUGUGGGAGCAACACAUUUUGGAUUGGGAUCAGGAGUUUGUUUUAGGGACAUGAAGUUUGAGAGGCCUAUUUAGAAGGACCUCACAGGCAAUUGGGAAUCGGGUCCAAAAUUCACAGGAGUGGUCUGUGGUAGGGAUGAGGCUUGGGAGUCAGAAGCAUGUUCGUGGAAUGUAGACUUGAGACUGAACGGGACCCUACGGAGGAGUAGGCUCAAGUUAGAACCUUUGGGGCUUAGUUCUCAAAGCUAUGGAAGACCUACCUUGCACGGUGCUGAGUGCUGGCAGAUGCAGGAUGGACCAAGUGCUCAGUGGCUAGCUCUCCCCCACUGCAUGAUUUUGUCUCAGAAUUCCCCACGCACUUGCUGUUUGCUCAGCUCCCUCUGGAGCUCACUGUUUAUUAUUUAACUACUUGAUCUAGUUUAGCACUGAGCACCAACUGAGAAAAAGCCACUCUGCUAGCACAUCAGCUCCCUAAGGAUCCUGGCCCACACUGUCUACUCUCCAAGGAUGCACUUUUCAACGGUGAAAACAGAAAACCCCAUCUACUUAAUGAUAAAGGAUAGCAAACUACAAGGCUGUAGCAGGUGUGACACUGGGGCUGGGGGUGGGGAGACACUGAUUCAGACUGGGAACAUGUGUGAAGACUCACCAAGGAAGCUGAACAUGAACUUGAACUUGAUCUUGAGAGCUGGGAAGGAAUGUGUUGGGGAGAGAUGAAGGCAGACAGGGAUGGGGGAAGGGCAACACAGGCAGACAUGACAAGAACAGAACCAUAGGAAGCCUUUGUGGCAGCAGCAUGGUGUUUGUGGUAAUCGAGCAGAGGGAGCUCAGACUGGCUUGGGUCAGACUGGAGGAGCUGGUGGCAGGCACUCCAUUUUAGCAACCAGCACCCAUGGGCACACUGUCAGUUAUCUGGUUACCCUGGGGAGCAGGCCCGAGGUCUUUCAGUCUCUCUCACUCUGAAGCCCAUCACAUCAACUCAUCAGCUUCACUGAGACUGCCAAUUUCCACCCCUCCAGCCCUGAGCCAACCUCCUUUGCUCCCCUGCUGUGGUUCUAUCACAGCGGCCCAGCUCUUGCCAGCAUCCUCAGUUGAUCUGCCUCUUUGGCUUUCUACCCCAUCCUCUUACAAACUCCUCACCCUGGAUCAUUUCAACAGCCUCUCUCUCUUCUAUUUCAGGGUGUUGAGGUGGUUGGACAACACCUCAACUGCAUACUGCAGUAGAUUCAACUUUGUUGUCACCAGUCUCAGUUGGGCCCUAAGAGUAUUUGUUCUUUUAUGCAUCCCUAGCCAGCUUGAUUUUCCAUCUUCCAACUGAGGCCAUGCCAAACCUUGGCUCCUAUUCUCAAAUCAUUCUCAGCACAAAAAAAUGGAAAGGUUUGGGUUCAUCCUCCCUCAAAUGUUUGCCUUCCCUGCAUGCAAACUUGUCUACUUAUCAGUUAUCUAUUGCUGUGUAAUAUUAA
Microcebus murinus (gray mouse lemur) is the source of this 4750-nucleotide long non-coding RNA. RefSeq lists it as uncharacterized. Lineage: Eukaryota; Metazoa; Chordata; Mammalia; Primates; Cheirogaleidae. The record is from RefSeq and is a predicted model, not a curated record.